GGGAUUGUGGCUCAGUGGUAGAGUGCUUGCCUAGCAUGCAUGAGGCACUGGGUUCAAUUCUCAGCACCA
Molecule: transfer RNA, 69 nt
Filed under: Ictidomys tridecemlineatus (thirteen-lined ground squirrel)
Lineage: Eukaryota; Metazoa; Chordata; Mammalia; Rodentia; Sciuridae
Also listed under: 1 other name
Description: Spermophilus tridecemlineatus (thirteen-lined ground squirrel) tRNA
Rfam family: tRNA
About the family: Transfer RNA (tRNA) molecules are approximately 80 nucleotides in length. Their secondary structure includes four short double-helical elements and three loops (D, anti-codon, and T loops). Further hydrogen bonds mediate the characteristic L-shaped molecular structure. tRNAs have two regions of fundamental functional importance: the anti-codon, which is responsible for specific mRNA codon recognition, and the 3' end, to which the tRNAs corresponding amino acid is attached (by aminoacyl-tRNA synthetases). tRNAs cope with the degeneracy of the genetic code in two manners: having more than one tRNA (with a specific anti-codon) for a particular amino acid; and 'wobble' base-pairing, i.e. permitting non-standard base-pairing at the 3rd anti-codon position.
Source: Rfam by way of RNAcentral